RNAcentral lists this ribosomal RNA (498 nucleotides) under uncultured bacterium. RNAcentral describes it as "partial 16S ribosomal RNA". It matches the Rfam family "Bacterial small subunit ribosomal RNA", at positions 30 to 507 of the family's 1533-position model. The record is from RNAcentral.
AGCGAACGCUGGCGGCGUGCCUAACACAUGCAAGUCGAACGUGAAAAGGGUAACCUGGGUGCAGUGGCGUAUGGGUGAGUAACGCGUAGGUCAUCUAUCACAUAACCUGGAAUUACCUGUCGAAUCGCGGGCCAAUACUGGAUACAGCGUGGGAACUCGUAAGAGAGUUUUUCGGGUAAGGGAUUUCGCCGGGGCCUUCGUUCUGCGAUGAUCCUGCGUCUGAUUAGCUAGUUGGUAAGGUAACGGCUUACCAAGGCGAUGAUGUGUAGCUGGACUGAGAGGACGGGCAGCCAGACUGGGACGGAAACACGGUCCAGUGGCCUACGGGAGGCAGCAGUAGGGAAACUUGCGCAAUGGACGGAAGUCUGACGAAGAUGGGCCGCGUGAGUGAAGAAGGACUUCGGGUUGGAAAGGUCUGUCGGAUGGGACGAAAAUGUUCAUAGUGGAUAGCUAGGGGGACUGACGGUACCGGCAAAGGAAGCACCGGCUAACUACGUG